This is a long non-coding RNA of Columba livia (rock pigeon), 675 nucleotides long. RefSeq lists it as uncharacterized. Lineage: Eukaryota; Metazoa; Chordata; Aves; Columbiformes; Columbidae. The transcript is spliced from 3 exons. The record is from RefSeq and is a predicted model, not a curated record.
UGCUUUUGUUUAGACAGAGGCAGAAACCAACUUGGUCUCUGCGGUCCAACAACAGCACAAACUCUCCAAGCUGGUUCUCUCUGUGAGGAAGUAGUCAUCAUGCAAACUUGGAGUAACCGUAACAGGAAAAGGCCUGACACACAAAACACAGGAGGGCUGCAAAGGAAAAGCAGCAGCUUACCAGGAAUGGGAGGCUAUCAGAAUUUGUCACUGAACAAGAAAGGCAACAAAUGUUUCUGCAGAAAAGAACAUACCCAGAUGAGAAACCUCUGCCCUGCUCUACAUCAAACUGCAACAGAAGUUGCUCCCUUCUAUUAAACAGAGCUGAAGCAGGAAAAGUUUCACAACAUUCUCAGUUCUGCCAACCUCUCGUCUUGACCAGCAUUCAUAAACUCAUGGCAGUGUAUUAACUUCCCUAAGAGGAGGUACUGAAGUCUAAAAAAUUCCUGGAGAACACAUAAAGGGAAUAAAUGGGCACAUUUACACCAUCAUCAAAAGAAAUCUCCAAAGGAAAAGGCCAAAACAAUUGAAUCCUCUUACCUCAGGUAUACGUAGGAAACAGAUUUCACGUUAGAUACAUGCAUUCAAGAUGAUGCAGAUAUAGAAUCACAGAAUCAUUGUGGUUGGAAAAGGCCUUUAAGAUCAUAGAGUUCAACCAUUAACCAAUGCUGCCAA